Molecule: ribosomal RNA, 439 nt
Filed under: uncultured bacterium
Lineage: Bacteria
Description: partial 16S ribosomal RNA
Rfam family: Bacterial small subunit ribosomal RNA
Source: RNAcentral
CUACGGGUUGCUGCAGUGAGGAAUAUUGCACAAUGGGGGGAACCCUGAUGCAGCAACGCCGCGUGGAGGAUGACGCAUUUCGGUGUGUAAACUCCUUUUAUAUGUCAAGAAAAUGACGGUAGCAUAUGAAUAAGCGCCGGCUAACUCCGUGCCAGCAGCCGCGGUAAUACGGAGGGCGCAAGCGUUACUCGGAAUCACUGGGCGUAAAGGACGCGUAGGCGGGUUGAAAAGUCAGGUGUGAAAGCCUACAGCUUAACUGUAGAACUGCACUUGAAACUCUCAACCUAGAGUAUGGGAGGGGCAGAUGGAAUUAGUGGUGUAGGGGUAAAAUCCGUAGAUAUCACUAGGAAUACCUAAAGCGAAGGCGAUCUCCUGGAACAUUACUGACGCUAAGGCGUGAAAGCGUGGGGAGCAAACAGGAUUAGAUACCCCCGUAGUC